This 707-nucleotide ribosomal RNA is filed under the name Staphylococcus epidermidis. RNAcentral describes it as "bacterial LSU rRNA". It matches the Rfam family "Bacterial large subunit ribosomal RNA", at positions 697 to 1408 of the family's 2925-position model. The record is from RNAcentral. Lineage: Bacteria; Bacillati; Bacillota; Bacilli; Caryophanales; Staphylococcaceae.
GAGUAGUUGGUCGUAGGCCCGGAACCAUGUGAGCUACCCUUGGUCAGGUUGAAGUUCAGGUAACACUGAAUGGGGGACCGAACCGACGUACGUUGAAAAGUGAGCGGAUGAACUGAGGGUAGCGGAGAAAUUCCAAUCGAACUUGGAGAUAGCUGGUUCUCUCCGAAAUAGCUUUAGGGCUAGCCUCAAGUGAUGAUUAUUGGAGGUAGAGCACUGUUUGGACGAGGGGCCCCUCUCGGGUUACCGAAUUCAGACAAACUCCGAAUGCCAAUUAAUUUAACUUGGGAGUCAGAACAUGGGUGAUAAGGUCCGUGUUCGAAAGGGAAACAGCCCAGACCACCAGCUAAGGUCCCAAAAUAUAUGUUAAGUGGAAAAGGAUGUGGCGUUGCCCAGACAACUAGGAUGUUGGCUUAGAAGCAGCCAUCAUUUAAAGAGUGCGUAAUAGCUCACUAGUCGAGUGACACUGCGCCGAAAAUGUACCGGGGCUAAACAUAUUACCGAAGCUGUGGAUUGUCCUUUGGACAAUGGUAGGAGAGCGUUCUAAGGGCGUCGAAGCAUGAUCGCAAGGACAUGUGGAGCGCUUAGAAGUGAGAAUGCCGGUGUGAGUAGCGAAAGACGGGUGAGAAUCCCGUCCACCGAUUGACUAAGGUUUCCAGAGGAAGGCUCGUCCGCUCUGGGUUAGUCGGGUCCUAAGCUGAGGCCGACAG